GAUGAACGCUGGCGGCGUGCUUAACACAUGCAAGUCGAACGGAAAGGCCCUGCCUUGCUGGGGUGCUCGAGUGGCGAACGGGUGAGUAACACGUGGGUAAUCUGCCCUGCACUUUGGGAUAACCUCGGGAAACUGGGUCUAAUACCGGAUAGGACCUCCUUUUGCAUGGUGGGGUGGAGAGUUUUUCGGUGGGGGAUGAUCUGGCGGCCUAUCAGCUGGUUGGUGGGGUAGUGGCUUCCCACGGAGCCGUCGGGUGGCAGGCCGGAGGGGUGGACGGGCACCAUGGGGCCUGGGAUAGGCCCCGGACUCCAACGGGAGGAAGCGGUGGGGAAUAUGCCACAUUGGGGGGAAGCUGGUUGAGGGAAGGCGGGGGGGGGAAGGCGGGCUUCGGGUUGGAAAAUCGCUUCGGUCGGUGACAAGCGGUAUGUGACGGUACCGGGAGAAGAAGCACCGGCUAACUACGUG
This 465-nucleotide ribosomal RNA is filed under the name uncultured bacterium. RNAcentral's name for it is "partial 16S ribosomal RNA". It matches the Rfam family "Bacterial small subunit ribosomal RNA", at positions 28 to 507 of the family's 1533-position model. The record is from RNAcentral.